GACGAACGCUGGCGGCGUGCUUAACACAUGCAAGUCGAACGCUGAAGCUUGGUGCUUGCACUGGGUGGAUGAGUGGCGAACGGGUGAGUAAUACGUGAGUAACCUGCCCUUGACUCUGGGAUAAGCCUGGGAAACUGGGUCUAAUACUGGAUAUGACAUGCCACUGCAUGGUGGUGUGUGGAAAGGGUUUUACUGGUUUUGGAUGGGCUCACGGCCUAUCAGCUUGUUGGUGGGGUAAUGGCCUACCAAGGCGACGACGGGAAGCCGGCCUGAGAGGGUGACCGGCCACACUGGGACUGAGACACGGCCCAGACUCCUACGGGAGGCAGCAGUGGGGAAUAUUGCACAAUGGGCGGAAGCCUGAUGCAGCGACGCCGCGUGAGGGAUGACGGCCUUCGGGUUGUAAACCUCUUUCAGCACGGAAGAAGCGAGAGUGACGGUACGUGCAGAAGAAGCGCCGGCUAACUACGUG
This 472-nucleotide ribosomal RNA is filed under the name uncultured bacterium. Its description in RNAcentral is "partial 16S ribosomal RNA". It matches the Rfam family "Bacterial small subunit ribosomal RNA", at positions 28 to 507 of the family's 1533-position model. The record is from RNAcentral.